This 28-nucleotide non-coding RNA is filed under the name Rattus norvegicus (Norway rat). The record is from RNAcentral. Lineage: Eukaryota; Metazoa; Chordata; Mammalia; Rodentia; Muridae.
UCCAAGGAAUUCUGUGUUUUCUGGGCCU